AAUCGCUAGUAAUCGCGGAUCAGCAUGCCGCGGUGAAUACGUUCCCGGGCCUUGUACACACCGCCCGUCACACCAUGAGAGUCGGGAACACCCGAAGCCCGUAGCCUAACUUGCAAGAGAGGGGCGGGGUCGAAGGUGGGUUCGAUAAUUGGGGUGAAGUCGUAACAAGGUAUC
Molecule: ribosomal RNA, 174 nt
Filed under: uncultured bacterium
Lineage: Bacteria
Description: partial 16S ribosomal RNA
Rfam family: Bacterial small subunit ribosomal RNA
Source: RNAcentral